RNAcentral lists this ribosomal RNA (367 nucleotides) under uncultured eukaryote. Its description in RNAcentral is "partial 18S ribosomal RNA". It matches the Rfam family "Eukaryotic small subunit ribosomal RNA", at positions 592 to 975 of the family's 1831-position model. The record is from RNAcentral.
CAAUAGCGUAUAUUAAAGUUGUUGCAGUUAAAAAGCUCGUAGUUGAAUUUCUGUACAUUCCCGGUGCCGGCUCUUGUCGAACCGUGGAGUGUGCAUCCGCUUACAAACUUAGCCCGGUCUUCAUUGGUCGACUAAGGGAGUAGGCCCUUUACUUUGAAAAAAUUAGAGUGUUUCAAGCAGGCAAUGGCUCGAAUACAUUAGCAUGGAAUAAUGGAAUAGGACUGAGGUCCAUUUGGUUGGUUAUUGGACUUUGGUAAUGAUUAACAGGGACAGUUGGGGGCAUUAGUACUUAACAGUCAGAGGUGAAAUUCUUGGAUUUGUUAAAGACUAACUUAUGCGAAAGCAUUUGCCAAGGAUGUUUNCAUUA